UUGUUCAUUGGUACUAUUCUGAACUGGUUGUCUUUGUACUUUUUAGAACUGGCAGCUGUUCAAACCUGAUUGUUUCUUAUGAAUCUCCACAAAUCCUGGAUAUGGAAUUGCUAUCUAGACCUCCAGCUGCUGCUACACUCUCCACACAGUUACUCCCCAGGAAAGUCUCUUCACCUUCUAGCACACUUGACUCUGGUGAGAAAAGAACUUCUCCCUAUGACUGCCUCCUCAGCCAGUCAUCAGCUCCACCCCAGGAGAAGCCUGCCUUGGUUCCUGAUCUGAUCAUCGUGGUCUGAGUGUGCAUCUGCUGGACUUAGAGCCUAAGGCUUGAGACUUUUGAUCUGACACUUGACUUACAUACAGAGGGAAUGUCUGUCAUGAGCCUGUCAUGAUUAAGUGUGUUUGCUGUGCUUAGAAUU
This 419-nucleotide long non-coding RNA is filed under the name Ictidomys tridecemlineatus (thirteen-lined ground squirrel). Its description in RNAcentral is "lncRNA (ENSSTOG00000033718.1)". The record is from RNAcentral. Lineage: Eukaryota; Metazoa; Chordata; Mammalia; Rodentia; Sciuridae.